UGCGCUCCAGCCUGUAAUGCGGCGGUCUGUUUGGAGAAGAGCACAUGCUCCACCAAGCCCCGGAAAUGCACUCUCAAGCGCCAAGUUGCCGUUGCCAUGGCAGCAGGAACACGUUGCUGUGGAAAAGACCCGGAGCCUACCGUGGUAAGAGCUGCAGCCCAGAGGUGUCAGGAGAAUCUACACAUUUUGUAGCCUGCUGUAGUGCUCCCCGGGCUUUCAGCCGUAGAAGAGGAAAAAGUAGUAGAUUUUUUUGUUUACAGCACAAGUUUACAUAACUAUAAAUCCCCCCCCCCCCUUUUUUUGUUUCUUUUUUUUUUGUUACAAAAUUUUAAAAUACUGCCAAAUUUUGUGGGAAUGGACAUAUGGAAACAACAUACAACUGCAUGAUAUUUUAUGUUUCUGACAUGGUAACUUAUGUUGUGCAUGUAAAAUUGUCUGUUUUCUUAUUUACAGUAUUUUAAAGGUUGGCUUUUAUUGCAUUUCAA
Molecule: long non-coding RNA, 485 nt
Organism: Astyanax mexicanus (Mexican tetra)
Lineage: Eukaryota; Metazoa; Chordata; Actinopteri; Characiformes; Acestrorhamphidae
Exons: 2
Source: RefSeq, a predicted model, not a curated record